This 250-nucleotide long non-coding RNA is filed under the name Malus domestica (apple). RNAcentral's name for it is "long non-coding RNA (MDOM_LNC012334)". Lineage: Eukaryota; Viridiplantae; Streptophyta; Magnoliopsida; Rosales; Rosaceae. The record is from RNAcentral.
UCUUUGUGCAUGGGCUAGAUCCAUUAUCUUUGAGCCAAGACAAGAUUACAAUUCAACAUAGGAUUCUGUUUUCAUUGAAUAUUAGCUUCAUUCCUACACUUCCAAAUUCGCCACAAACCAAACGCCACCUGCUGAAGUACUAACUCUGCCGCCACCUCCUUAUCCAAUCGCUCUAACAACCUCUACCAUCCCUUCAUAAAACUAUUGGCCCCCAUAGACGCCAUAUCAAUUUGCAAAGACGUCUCAGACC